UUCUGCAGGCAUAGCUGUUGUCUUGUCUUGUAGCGUGGACAAAAACAGAGUAGUGGAGGUAGUGGUUGUACACUUGUACUUUGUCAACUCUGUUAACGAGGGACAAAUGCUCAGUGCUAUCCAUAUGACCGUUGUUACCUCCCUUUCAAUUCUUCGUUCUUCUUAGAUAAGAUUGAAUUGAGAAACAACUACUUUGGAUC
Molecule: long non-coding RNA, 200 nt
Filed under: Medicago truncatula (barrel medic)
Lineage: Eukaryota; Viridiplantae; Streptophyta; Magnoliopsida; Fabales; Fabaceae
Description: long non-coding RNA (MTRU_LNC003870)
Source: RNAcentral